AGAGCGAACGCUGGCGGCAGGCCUAACACAUGCAAGUCGAGCGCCCGUAGCAAUACGGGAGCGGCAGACGGGAUAGUAACACGUGGGAACGCGCCCUUCGGUUCGGAAUAACUCAGGGAAACUUGAGCUAAUACCGGAUACGCCCUUACGGGGAAAGAUUUAUUGCCGAAGGAACGGCCCGCGUCCGAUUAGCUAGUUGGUGAGGUAAUGGCUCACCAAGGCUAUGACGGGUAGCUGGUCUGAGAGGACGACCAGCCACACUGGAACUGAGACACGGUCCAGACACCUACGGGUGGCAGCAGUCGAGAAUUUUUCACAAUGGGGGAAACCCUGAUGGAGCGACGCCGCGUGGAGGAUGAAGGUUCUUGGAUUGUAAACUCCUGUCACUGCAGAACAAGGAUACGCCAGUUAACAGCUGGCGUAUUUGAUGGUAUGCGGAGAGGAAGGGACGGCUAACUCUAGUGCCAGCAGCCGC
This 475-nucleotide ribosomal RNA is filed under the name uncultured bacterium. Its description in RNAcentral is "SSU rRNA". It matches the Rfam family "Bacterial small subunit ribosomal RNA", at positions 26 to 518 of the family's 1533-position model. The record is from RNAcentral.